GAUGAACGCUGGCGGCGUGCCUAAUACAUGCCAGUCGAGCGAACAGACGAGGAGCUUGCUCCUCUGACGUUAGCGGCGGACGGGUGAGUAACACGUGGAUAACCUACCUAUAAGACUGGGAUAACUUCGGGAAACCGGAGCUAAUACCGGAUAAUAUAUUGAACCGCAUGGUACAAUAGUGAAAGACGGUUUUGCUGUCACUUAUAGAUGGAUCCGCGCCGCAUUAGCUAGUUGGUAAGGUAACGGCUUACCAAGGCAACGAUGCGUAGCCGACCUGAGAGGGUGAUCGGCCACACUGGAACUGAGACACGGUCCAGACUCCUACGGGAGGCAGCAGUAGGGAAUCUUCCGCAAUGGGCGAAAGCCUGACGGAGCAACGCCGCGUGAGUGAUGAAGGUCUUCGGAUCGUAAAACUCUGUUAUUAGGGAAGAACAAAUGUGUAAGUAACUAUGCACGUCUUGACGGUACCUAAUCAGAAAGCCACGGCUAACUACGUG
RNAcentral lists this ribosomal RNA (497 nucleotides) under uncultured bacterium. Its description in RNAcentral is "partial 16S ribosomal RNA". It matches the Rfam family "Bacterial small subunit ribosomal RNA", at positions 28 to 507 of the family's 1533-position model. The record is from RNAcentral.